AGUGAACGCUGGCGGUAGGCCUAACACAUGCAAGUCGAACGGCAGCACAGUAAGAGCUUGCUCUUACGGGUGGCGAGUGGCGGACGGGUGAGGAAUACAUCGGAAUCUACUUUUUCGUGGGGGAUAACGUAGGGAAACUUACGCUAAUACCGCAUACGACCUACGGGUGAAAGCAGGGGAUCUUCGGACCUUGCGCGAUUGAAUGAGCCGAUGUCGGAUUAGCUAGUUGGCGGGGUAAAGGCCCACCAAGGCGACGAUCCGUAGCUGGUCUGAGAGGAUGAUCAGCCACACUGGAACUGAGACACGGUCCAGACUCCUACGGGAGGCAGCAGUGGGGAAUAUUGGACAAUGGGCGCAAGCCUGAUCCAGCCAUGCCGCGUGGGUGAAGAAGGCCUUCGGGUUGUAAAGCCCUUUUGUUGGGAAAGAAAAGCAGCAGGUUAAUACCCCGCUGUUAUGACGGUACCCAAAGAAUAAGCACCGGCUAACUUCGUG
This 492-nucleotide ribosomal RNA is filed under the name uncultured bacterium. RNAcentral describes it as "partial 16S ribosomal RNA". It matches the Rfam family "Bacterial small subunit ribosomal RNA", at positions 29 to 507 of the family's 1533-position model. The record is from RNAcentral.